This 2823-nucleotide long non-coding RNA is filed under the name Homo sapiens (human). RNAcentral's name for it is "HSALNT0110104". Lineage: Eukaryota; Metazoa; Chordata; Mammalia; Primates; Hominidae. The record is from RNAcentral.
UGACCCUGACAACACCUUGUCAUGGCCCUCCUUAUGCAGACAUUGCAUGAUCUAAGACAUGUGCCUGCAGUGCCUGGACCCCAUCUGUGUGCCUACACACCAGCUUCAGCUUGACUAUGACUCACAGAGUUGCUUCAUGUGGCCUUCCCAAUGCAGACUAAGAGCUCCAAACCGCCUACAGGUGGUGGCUCACUGACUUCCCUGUUUGCCUGCACACAAAUGUGUCUUGCCUUUGCUGUGGAAGGCUGUUUCCUGCUUGCACAGUGACUAUGGACCAGAUCUAGCCUGGGCAACAAGAUUUAUUGAAUUCUUGGAAAGCAAAACUGAAGAAUUCCUGACUAAAGGCUUUCUGCAAAAUAUGACAGAAGUUAUACUGUGCCAGUUCUGAGCCCAUAUGCUAAGAAGAUCGUCAGCUUCCACUUCCCUCUUUUGCACCUUGGGUGCUAUUCUGUGAAGAACCCCAAACAACCACAUAGAGAGUCCUCUGGGAUAGAUAAGUCAUGUUUCCAACUGACCGUUCCAUUUAAACUGCCAGCUGAAGAGAGAACCAACUUUUCAUCCAUGGAAGGCUGAUGCACAUCAUCAUGGAGCUAAACACACACACGGAUCAGGAGUUAGAGAAGCUGGAGGAGGAAAUUUGGAAGAAUCUAGAGAUGUUGCAGGGCAUGCUUGUGGCCAUACAAAGAAGGGUCUUGCUGUGUCACCCAGAGUGGAGUGCAGUGGUAUGAACACAGCUCACUGCAACCUUGACCUUCUUGGCUCAAGCGAUCCUCCUACCUCAGCCCCCUGAGUAGCUGAGACUACAGGCGUGCACCACCUCGCUUGGUUACAUUGAAAAAUUUUUGUAGACACCAGGUCUUGCCAUAUUGUUCAGUCUGGUCUCAAACUCCUGGGCUCAGACAAUCCUCCCGACUUAGCCUCCAAAAGUGCCAGGAUUCCACAUGUGAGCUACCAGGUUCAGCCUUUCCACAUUACCUAUAACAUGUAUUAUAUGCUUUUGCUCAUAAUUAUUUCACAAUUUAAUUUUUCUUAAUUAAAUUGCAAGCUUCUUAGAAUCAGGGUCCAGGUCAUCUAUAUAAUUUUAUUCCCUAGAGUGGCCUUGUGCAAUAUACUCUACAUAUUGGUUGAUUAAUAACUAUUAUUUUACUAUUGAAUGAAUUUAUGCAUAAAUAUUAGGAUCUUCCUGAUAUUAAAAGAUGUUCUCAAGUCUUAUUUAACUAUGUAAUAUGUUAUAAUGUAGCUAACCUAAAAAUAUACAUAUUGUCAGAAAAAUAUAUUAAUGGAGCAGAAAGAGAACUGGUAGUAUUUGAUAGACAGCUACCAGCUCAUAAUCACUAUUUACGUUUGGAAUUUUAAAAUAUCAAGGAAAUUAAUUAAAAUUUGAAUUCUUGGGCUUUGAUUGUCAAAACAAUUAUACUUUCCACAGAGCCUUAAGGGAAGGAAAAAAUUUCAGAACAGUUUAAUUUAUGUUUCCAAUGUUUAAGUUCCUAGGAGAGGCAACUGUAGGUGAUUAUUGGUGGAAGAAAAAAUUUCACAUUUUGAUCAGAAAUCAUAUCAUUCAAUUAGAUUUCUCUCACGGGAAGUAAAAUAAAAGCACAUUUAUCUAUAUAUGUUUGUUAUUUUUGAUAAGAAAACCCAGAAAGGCACCCUACAAACUACUUCUUUCUCUUACUUUUAGCAAACUAUUCUGUAAGGAACAUUUUAAGAAAGAUAAAUUUUGGAAACCUUUGUAAAUGGAUAGAAAUGAAAAGAAACAGAAUAAUAAAAGAGAUAAAGGCUAAAGUGAGCGAAACACCAAAUGAGACCAAAAAAAGGCAACAUGAGCAUAGAUUGCUCUAGUCUAUGUUGUAGGACCGGUGUUUCUCCCCAUCAAGUCUUCCAGCAUUUUCAAACCACCUGGAAAUUAGUCAUUGCAAGAUGCCUACUGGAGGCUUUCAAAGCCAUAGGGAGUGUUGCAAGAAGGUGGAAGGAAGAUAGUCAUCAUGAUGUUUAUAUUUCAUUUUUCAUCUGGGAAAUGUUUCAUCAAACUUUAUGAAAGGGAAAAUUCGUUAUAAAAACAACAACAACAAAAAAAAACCACCAGACCUGUGGGCUAGGCAUCAGAGAAGGCCAUCUUCUCAUAAACGUAGCACUGAAAUAAACGACUUUUUCAAUCCAUGCAGGGAGUAUGCUAUCAUACCAAGCUUUCUUUUCACUAGGUCUCCCCUUUGUAAGUCAAAACAUGGGGAAGCCAAUGAGCUUACAAAGCUGAGCAGUGAUGGUUCUAGCUCCUCACCUCACCACACAUUGCUCUACAUUGAGUGAUUUGGGCCCAGUGUAACAUUAUCCUAUAUGGAAAACCAAAAAGGCUGUAUCACAGGUGGUAAUGCCAAAAUUCCAACAAUUUGCUUUUUCAAGUAAAGGUCAUAUGUCACUGUAAUUAAAAGCAGUUUCAGGGAACUGGGUUUUAGAAAAACUAAAAUAACACUUUGUAACAUAUUAUUUUUAAUUGGUUUAAGUUAAAACACGAUUUGUUAAUUUUAUUCACAGGUUUUGAUUUAAAAUCCAGCUAUAUCCAGUUUCUAAAUAAAAGUGUUAGAGCGUAUUUUAAAAUAAUUUUAAAACUAAUAAAUUGCUAUAAAAUCUGACUUUGUUAUGCAUGAUUUGUGCCAAUCAACAACCACAAGCCACAGGAUUGGCAUUCUAAGAACUCUAAGAAUAUGUAAAGGAAAAGAUGAUGUUAAAGCACAAACAAACACAUCAUUAUUUGGCUCAACUUGGAUGCAUAAAUAAAUCAACAAACUUUUUAUUUUGCAUUCUUCAUCAUUUUUUUCCCAUUCAAAA